GUAGGUGGCAAGCGUUGUCCGGAAUUAUUGGGCGUAAAGCGCGCGCAGGCGGUUCUUUAAGUCUGAUGUGAAAGCCCACGGCUCAACCGUGGAGGGUCAUUGGAAACUGGAGAACUUGAGUACAGAAGAGGAAAGCGGAAUUCCACGUGUAGCGGUGAAAUGCGUAGAGAUGUGGAGGAACACCAGUGGCGAAGGCGGCUUUCUGGUCUGUAACUGACGCUGAGGCGCGAAAGCGUGGGGAGCAAACAGGAUUAGAUACCCUGGUGGUCCACGCCGUAAACGAUGAGUGCUAAGUGUUAGGGGGUUUCCGCCCCCCUUAGUGCUGCAGCUAACGCAUUAAGCACUCCGCCUGGGAGUACGGCCGCAAGGCUG
This 372-nucleotide ribosomal RNA is filed under the name uncultured organism. RNAcentral describes it as "partial 16S ribosomal RNA". It matches the Rfam family "Bacterial small subunit ribosomal RNA", at positions 527 to 896 of the family's 1533-position model. The record is from RNAcentral.